CUGGUGUCAGCCGCCGCGGUAAUACCAGCACCUCGAGUGGUCAGGACGUUUAUUGGGCCUAAAGCAUCCGUAGCCGGCUCUGCAAGUCUUCGGUUAAAUCCACCUGCUCAACAGAUGGGCUGCUGGAGAUACUACAGAGCUAGGGAGUGGGAGAGGCAGACGGUAUUCAGUGGGUAGGGGUAAAAUCCUCUGAUCCAUUGAGGACCACCAGUGGCGAAGGCGGUCUGCCAGAACACGUUCGACGGUGAGGGAUGAAAGCUGGGGGAGCAAACCGGAUUAGAUACCCGGGUAGUCCCAGCUGUAAACGAUGCAAACUCGGUGAUGCAUUGGCUUAUGGCCAAUGCAGUGCCGCAGGGAAGCCGUUAAGUUUGCCGCCUGGGAAGUACGGACGCAAGUCUGAAACUUAAAGGAAUUGGCGGGGGAGCACCACAAGGGGUGAAGCCUGCGGUUCAAUUGGAGUCAACGCCAGGAAUCUUACCCGGGGAGACAGCAGAAUGAAGGUCAAGCUGAAGACUUUACCAGACAAGCU
RNAcentral lists this ribosomal RNA (529 nucleotides) under uncultured Nitrososphaerota archaeon. RNAcentral's name for it is "bacterial SSU rRNA". It matches the Rfam family "Archaeal small subunit ribosomal RNA", at positions 452 to 981 of the family's 1478-position model. The record is from RNAcentral. Lineage: Archaea; Thermoproteati; Nitrososphaerota.